Molecule: ribosomal RNA, 468 nt
Filed under: uncultured bacterium
Lineage: Bacteria
Description: partial 16S ribosomal RNA
Rfam family: Bacterial small subunit ribosomal RNA
Source: RNAcentral
GACGAACGCUGGCGGCGUGCUUAACACAUGCAAGUCGAACGGAAAGGCCCUGCUUUUGUGGGGUGCUCGAGUGGCGAACGGGUGAGUAACACGUGAGUAACCUGCCCUUGACUUUGGGAUAACUUCAGGAAACUGGGGCUACUACCGGAUAGGAGCUCCUGCUGCAUGGUGGGGGUUGGAAAGUUUCGGCGGUUGGGGAUGGACUCGCGGCUUAUCAGCUUGUUGGUGGGGUAGUGGCUUACCAAGGCUUUGACGGGUAGCCGGCCUGAGAGGGUGACCGGCCACAUUGGGACUGAGAUACGGCCCAGACUCCUACGGGAGGCAGCAGUGGGGAAUAUUGCACAAUGGGCGGAAGCCUGAUGCAGCAACGCCGCGUGCGGGAAGACGGCCUUCGGGUUGUAAACCGCUUUCGCCUGUGACGAAGCGUGAGUGACGGUAAUGAGUAAAGAAGCACCGGCUAACUACGUG